AGUGGAGGAGGAGCCUGAGGAGGAAGUUAGCUGAAAUGUGUGAGCCGGAGAUGGGUCUGUGGUACGUCCCAGGGAUUUUGUGUAAUGAGAGGGCGGAGCCUUUAGAGGGUGGGUUGUCAGGCUAAUUGGUAAGGUGACCCUGAAUGACGGGGUGUGAGGUUAUGGUUGUGGCUCCCACUUUUGGGGUACGGAUGAUAAAAAAAAAAACCCCGACUUUUCUGAGUAUUUUUCUCAAUCAAAUCUUUUAAGAUGCACAAAAUGGGAAACUAGAGAAGAAAGACUAAUGAAAAAAUGGGGCAGGAAAGAGAAAGCCACAAGGGAAGCGCCCCCUAUGGAAACAAAGACAGGUAACACUGAAAAAAAAAAAACGGGAUUAUCGGAAACAAAACGGCUGCUUUCUAGAAGUCCCGGUGGUGCUUCUGGAUCUUUGCCCUGAAUUCACUGACUUCAUUGUCUGUUUCUGCUGACUGCUUCUGAUACCCUCUUCCUCCUCCGGUAUAAAUGACUCCCUCUGAGCCACAGUCACCCGACACUCGUCUCACAGGUUAUUGCAAGGAGUAAUCGAGAUAACAUGUGUAAGCAGCAGGUAUAUUGUAAAUACUUCUACAAAUCAGCUAUAAUUAUGUAAACAACUAUCAUCCUGUGUGGGGUAAGCUCUGAUAGCAGAAAGUACAAAGUACACUAAAAAAUGCUCAGGAAACUGAGAAAUGAUAAAACAGUGACUGGUUACAAUGACUGUGUGUGUGGGAGUCCAGGGUCCCCGCCUGAUACCUUUAGUUACUUAUUCAGUAAACAUUUAUGGAGAUCAGUGGUGGCCACUUGCCAUAGUCACAGCUGCCCAGUGGCUUUAUUUGUUUUAAGUUGUUAACUAAAAUCUUUUGCUGUGCUCAGUUCAGCUCUAUUUUUUUUGUCAUUAUUAUUUUAUUGUUGAUAAGUUAUUAUUGACUUAUUUUUUUUAGCUGCCCCGUGGCAUAUGGCAUUCGCCUUGCUGGGCUGGGUAUUGAAUCUGUGUUGCAGCACUUCAGAGACCCCUAGAUCCUGCUGUGUCACAGCGGGGGACAUCUGUCUUUAUUUUUAAUUGAAGUAUAGUUGAUUUGCAAUGCUGUGUUAGUUUCAGGUGUACAGCAGAGUGAUUCAGUUAUAUAAAUAAAUAAAUACAUACAUAUAUUCUUUUUCAGAUUCUUUGCCAUGACAGGUCAUUACAAGCUAUGGGGUAUAGUUCCCCGUGCUACACAGUGGGCGCUUGUUGGUUAUCUGUUUUACAAAUAGUAGUGUGUAUCUGUUAAUCCCAAUUUAUCUCUCCCCGGGCUACAUCGGGUCCUUAACCUACUGAGCCACAGCGGGAACUCCUGUGAUUAUUGAGGCCCUUCUCUGUGCCACGAUCAUUCUGGAGACAAAAGGAUGAAUAAGAGGUCUGGCCAGUAGCUAUGGAGAGAGGUCACUUUCUCAUCGAACAUCUAUGGUGGACACAGGCAGCCCUAGUCUUGAUUUGAUGUUGCGGGAUGACCUCUUCCCAGGAUGACCGAUGGCAGGAACGUCUACUCCUGGCAGGGGAACCCCUCCAGUCCUUCCUUGGUAUGUUUCUGCCCGGAGAGCCCAGCGUGGCUUUACCUCCAACCCCAAAGAGCCAGUCCCAGUCCCGACCCUCAGUCUUAAAUAGCAUCCCGAGCAGGACGUUAACACAGUCCUGCCCAGGGCAGGGUCAUUUUUACAGUCUCUUCUCCAGCUCUCGGUGAAGACCAGGUCUCAGUUUCUCAUCUUCUGCGAGUGUGGCCUGCAUGAGACCAUCCAUAAUCCUAAGCUUAAAAAAUGGUUUUCUGGCACAGGAAAGUCCACAUCCGUGCCUGGCGCAAGAGACUUUUCUCUCCUCGUUGGCAGGGUACCACUCUGCUACCCGGAGAACCUUUUCCUGCAUCUCACAGACUUGCUUGGUUCCCACGAGCCCUGGCUGUCUCCCCAUCUCCAUAGCUACAGGAGUGUUUGCUUUCUGUCUUCACAGCUAUGAGACACACGGAGUGGAUUUGUCCUCAAAUAAAAGGCAAUCUUCUCUAGGAGUAAUUCAACUCUGGUAAAAAUAGAGACCUGCUUUCAUCUCCCUCCUACUCUCAGCUUUGGCCUUUCCUGUUGAAAUCUCAAGAUCUUGGGACUCUUAGCCCGCAUUUAAUCUCAGAGUUCCCUGUAUUUUCCCUCUGUUAUGGGCCGAGUUGGUUUCUCCAAGAUUCCUAUGUUAACGUCCCAAUUUCCAAUACCUCAGCAUGUGUCUAUAUUUGGAGACCGAAGUUCUUUAAAGAGGUAAGUUAAAAUGAGGUCAUAUGUCCUUAAAAGGAGAGGUGAUCAGAACACAGACACACACACAGGGAAGAGCGUGUGAAGACACAGGGAGAAGAUGGCCAUUCACAAGCCAAGGAGGGAGGCUUCAGAAGGAACCAGCCCUGCCCACACCUUGAUCUUGGACUUCCAGGCUCCAGCAUCGUGAGACAACAAAUUUCUGUUGUGUGAGCCACCCAGUGUGCGGUGCUUUGGGAUGGCAGCCUCAGCUGACUAGCGCACCCUCCCCCGUGGCAGUCUUUGCAAGAAGCUGUUCUUCUUUUAAUACAGGGCACUCACUCCUCUCCACGGGGGUCAAGGGGACGGGUUUGGAGCGUCUAGAAGGGAACACAGCAUGUCUGUACCCACUCUCUGUGUGCAAGGGCAUCUUUACCAAGCGUGUAGUUUCAGGAGGGGCGCAGAGGUGAGGUUAGAAGUGGAUGCCAUGCUGAUCGGCCAUAAAAAUUGCUUCCCCUCUGGCCAUGGAGGAGGCAGGGAGGUUCAACUCUUUUACGUCUGCAAGGUAGGCCGCCAAACCAGACACUUUGAAGCUACCCCAUCCAACAAGGGAGCCGCCAGCUACAUGUGGCUGUUGGGCACUUGAAAUGCAGUUUGUCUAAAGUCAACAAAUGGCAAAUGCUGGAGAGGGUGGGGAGAAAGGGGAACCCUCCUGCACUGUUGCUGGGAGUGUAAAUUGGUAC
Non-coding RNA from Sus scrofa (pig), 3008 nucleotides. The record is from RefSeq and is a predicted model, not a curated record. Lineage: Eukaryota; Metazoa; Chordata; Mammalia; Artiodactyla; Suidae.